This 483-nucleotide ribosomal RNA is filed under the name uncultured bacterium. Its description in RNAcentral is "partial 16S ribosomal RNA". It matches the Rfam family "Bacterial small subunit ribosomal RNA", at positions 30 to 506 of the family's 1533-position model. The record is from RNAcentral.
AUUGAACGCUGGCGGCAGGCCUAACACAUGCAAGUCGAGCGGAUGAAGGGAGCUUGCUCCUGGAUUCAGCGGCGGACGGGUGAGUAAUGCCUAGGAAUCUGCCUGGUAGUGGGGGGUAACGUCCGGAAACGGGCGCUAAUACCGCAUACGUCCUGAGGGAGAAAGUGGGGGAUCUUCGGACCUCACGCUAUCAGAUGAGCCUAGGUCGGAUUAGCUAGUUGGUGGGGUAAAGGCCUACCAAGGCGACGAUCCGUAACUGGUCUGAGAGGAUGAUCAGUCACACUGGAACUGAGACACGGUCCAGACUCCUACGGGAGGCAGCAGUGGGGAAUAUUGGACAAUGGGCGAAAGCCUGAUCCAGCCAUGCCGCGUGGGUGAAGAAGGUCUGCGGAUUGUAAAGCACUUUAAGUUGGGAGGAAGAGCAGUAAGUUAAUACCUUGCUGUUUUGACGUUACCAACAGAAUAAGCACCGGCUAACUUCGU